Molecule: long non-coding RNA, 945 nt
Organism: Haliotis rufescens (red abalone)
Lineage: Eukaryota; Metazoa; Mollusca; Gastropoda; Lepetellida; Haliotidae
Exons: 4
Source: RefSeq, a predicted model, not a curated record
CUUGUGAUUGUCGUGACGUGCUUUAGUUUCGUGUCAUUUUAUGCAUACGUUUUCAUUUAUCCCGGAUUGCUUGUAAGGCCGUCUGAACUACUCCUGAGAUUGAAGCAAGUGCUUUUUGAAAUAGGCGAAGCCAGAGGUAUCCAGAAUCCGAUCCGUGCCCUUCUCGAGUCCUUGUCGUACAUUCAGUCACCAUGAACACCUGGUUUAGGAUGGCGUUGCUGGGAGUGCUGUUGGUAAAUAUCCCACAAACACAAGCGAGGCGAAUCAAUUAACAAGAGGAUGUUAGGGACGAGGAUACUGAGAAUACGGAAGAAUCGGAUGAUCGCACAAACGACGACACGAGUGCUGAUGAUGAGAAAGUCACCCCAAAACGACACAAGAGAGGACUUUUUGGUUCUUUUCAAGGCAUGUUUGGAAUGGCUGUGAAUAUGGUAGAUGGCCUAGCAAAGAAGGCUAGUAACCGAGGGGAGCAGGCGGACGAUACGAUGGGUGGUAUAGGCAAUUUUGGAAAGCGGAUGGGCGACAUGAUGGGGUGGUCUGAUGGGCGUCUUCAAGGGGGGCAGGUGAAGCUGCAGGUACGGACACAGCCGAAGCCAGCACAACUGCAUGUUGAAAUCAUGCAUCAGACGGGAUUCUUAAGUACAUGUAAUGCCUUCAGAACUAAAACUAGAAAUGUGAUACUCGAUAUGAGAAUAGAAUAAAUAUAACUUUCGAAAAUUGACAUCGGGCGGUUUCAUAUUAUAAGAAUCGCGUUUCGAAAGCAUCUACCGAGUCUACUUAUCCAUACGAUGCUUACAGUGUUAAACUAUAAAAUAUAUUCAAAUUCUGUACUAACAAUAUAUCUCUUAGGGAAUAUAUAUAUCGUCAUUGCCCUCUAUCCAUGCAGAGGUGCACUUAUAUCAUUGUAUAUAUGUCUAGUUACAUGAAUAAAAGCAUGUGUCCUCA